UUGCAUUUCAUCUCAUCUUUCGAUCUUCUGAGCAAGAUACGGAUCAAAUAUUAGGAUAUUAUCUUAGAGCUCUUUGAUCGAUUUUCGAACUUCAUCUUUGACUCACUUUAUUCUAGAUGAAAUCUUAUCAUCUGAGCAAUCCGUGCAUCAGAAAACUAUACCAGAAACAGUCGGAACAGCCCAGCUGUCACGUCCAGGUUUGGAAGCAUUAUAUUGCGGCUACACCUAGAAAGUGUUUUUAUUUGCUGUCGUAGGACAUGAAGACCUCAAACGCAACUCUCAAACGUUAGGACCAAGCAACGGAACGCUUUAGCAGAAAUCCUUCAUAAACAAUGAUGAAUAUAGAACAUAAAUAUAAUGAGAUUGGAUUGUGAAAAAUAAAAGUAUUCAUGUU
Aedes aegypti (yellow fever mosquito) is the source of this 394-nucleotide long non-coding RNA. RefSeq lists it as uncharacterized. NCBI's taxonomy places the organism in Eukaryota, Metazoa, Arthropoda, Insecta, Diptera, Culicidae. The record is from RefSeq and is a predicted model, not a curated record. The transcript has 2 exons.